Meriones unguiculatus (Mongolian gerbil) is the source of this 565-nucleotide long non-coding RNA. RefSeq lists it as uncharacterized. NCBI's taxonomy places the organism in Eukaryota, Metazoa, Chordata, Mammalia, Rodentia, Muridae. The record is from RefSeq and is a predicted model, not a curated record. The transcript has 3 exons.
UUCAAAAGAUCAGGACAAGUCAGCAAAAGCCACAAGACUCAGUUGGAUUGUCUCAAGAAGUUCCCUGGAACGUUUUUCUCUGCGAAGUCAAGUGUCAAAGCAUGAAGAUCAGCGUAGGGAUAUCAGUCCAAAGAGCGGUGCCUCACUGUGAGUGGGCUUCUGUGUCUCUCCUCUCCUCAGAGUCCAUCCGAGGAUGUUCUCAGCUGGCCAAAAUCACAGCCCUUAACCAAGAGAGCACUCAGCAAAACAUCACGUGCCCUCUCACAAGAGAGCUCUCGCGAGAAAACAUCGCAUGACUCAAAGAAAUCAGAAAUUUCCACUUCAUUUGAUGAAUAAGGGCCUAUGAUCUCUCAAGCAAUGGUCAUGUGACUGGGUUUAUCGUCCAGGCAUGGCUUCCUUUCUGUGGAGCGGGUCUCAAACAUAAUCAGAAAGCAAUUGGUUAUCUUCAUGACAGUCAUGCCGGUAUCGCACAGUGGACACCUCUUCCCGGAGGUUAAUACUGGAGCAUCCCGAGGCCACUGUUCGAGUCCUGAUCUGAAAGUCUGACUGUAUACAGUAAGUGAAG